This is a long non-coding RNA of Lemur catta (Ring-tailed lemur), 614 nucleotides long. RefSeq lists it as uncharacterized. The record is from RefSeq and is a predicted model, not a curated record. The transcript has 3 exons. NCBI's taxonomy places the organism in Eukaryota, Metazoa, Chordata, Mammalia, Primates, Lemuridae.
ACUUAAAGAGAUCUUGUCAGAGGCCUGGGGAAAGAAACUCGGCAGAAUCCUAUGGUUUUCACGAAAGCCAGAGCAGGGCCAUUUUACAUGCAAUGAUUAACUGGAAAAUUUGUUCCUUCUGAGCUACCAGGAAACACAAUGGAAUUAGUGCCGAAGCCCCAUCCGGGAGCAGAGCUAAUACUGCGGCAGGAACAGCUCAUGCUAAUCGUCAGUGACCCGUGUGAAUAAUGUUAGUCACCCAGGGAGGAGAGGCUGGAACAUGGAUGCUUGUCAUGUGUCACUUAGCAGAGAUACUUACUGGGAAAACUGUCAUUAGGCAAUUUCGUCAUUGUGCGAACAUCACAGAGUGUACCCACGCAAACCCACAUGGCACAGCCUGCUACAUGCCUAGUCUAUACGGCACAGCUUAUUGCUCCUAGGCUACAAAGCUGUACAUCAUGUCACUGUGCGGAAUACUGUUGGCAACUGUAACACAAUGGAGUGGCCUAGUAAAGAGAACCUUCCCAGCAUUGAAUUUCAAUUCAGUCUUGGCCGGAUUAUUAUCUAGGUAAUACAGCCGAGCCCUCAGGCCUGCUCCAGGCACGAAACCAACUGAGACUGGAAGAUUUAUAAAU